UCAUGCCCCUUAUGACCUGGGCUACACACGUGCUACAAUGGUUGGUACAACGAGUUGCGAGUCGGUGACGGCGAGCUAAUCUCUUAAAGCCAAUCUCAGUUCGGAUUGUAGGCUGCAACUCGCCUACAUGAAGUCGGAAUCGCUAGUAAUCGCGGAUCAGCACGCCGCGGUGAAUACGUUCCCGGGCCUU
Molecule: ribosomal RNA, 190 nt
Filed under: uncultured Streptococcus sp.
Lineage: Bacteria; Bacillati; Bacillota; Bacilli; Lactobacillales; Streptococcaceae
Description: partial 16S ribosomal RNA
Rfam family: Bacterial small subunit ribosomal RNA
Source: RNAcentral